This 450-nucleotide ribosomal RNA is filed under the name uncultured bacterium. RNAcentral's name for it is "bacterial SSU rRNA". It matches the Rfam family "Bacterial small subunit ribosomal RNA", at positions 29 to 524 of the family's 1533-position model. The record is from RNAcentral.
AAUGAACGCUGGCGGCAGGCCUAACACAUGCAAGUCGAGCGAAGUCUUCGGACUUAGCGGCGGACGGGUGAGUAACGCGUGGGAACGUACCUUUUGCUUCGGAAUAGCCUCGGGAAACUGGGAGUAAUACCGAAUGUGCCCUACGGGGGAAAGAUUUAUCGGCAAAAGAUCGGCCCGCGUUGGAUUAGGUAGUUGGUGGGGUAAUGGCCUACCAAGCCGACGAUCCAUAGCUGGUUUGAGAGGAUGAUCAGCCACACUGGGACUGAGACACGGCCCAGACUCCUACGGGAGGCAGCAGUGGGGAAUCUUAGACAAUGGGCGCAAGCCUGAUCUAGCCAUGCCGCGUGAUCGAUGAAGGCCUUAGGGUUGUAAAGAUCUUUCGUGGGGGAAGAUAAUGACGGUACCCCAAGAAGAAGCCCCGGCUAACUCCGUGCCAGCAGCCGCGGUAAU